ACGGGGAGCAGCAGGCGCGAGUGAUAGGAAUUGGCGGGGGAGCAGCAGGCGCGAAACCUUUACACUGCACGACAGUGCGAUAAGGGGACUCCAAGUGCGAGGGCAUACAGUCCUCGCUUUUUCCUACCGUAAGGAGGUAGGCGAGUAAGAGCUGGGCAAGACCGGUGCCAGCCGCCGCGGUAAUACCGGCAGCUCGAGUGAUGGCCACUAUUAUUGGGCCUAAAGCGUCCGUAGCUGGCCGAACAGGUCCGUCGGGAAAUCCGCUCGCUCAACGAGCGGACGUCCGGCGGAAACCAGUCGGCUUGGGACCGGAGGACCCGAGGGGUACGUCCGGGGUAGGAGUGAAAUCCUGUAAUCCUGGACGGACCACCGGUGGCGAAAGCGCCUCGGGAGGACGGAUCCGACAGUGAGGGACGAAAGCUUGGGUCACGAACCGGAUUAGAUACCCGGGUAGUCCAAGCUGUAAACGAUGCUCGCUAGGUGUGGCACUGGCUACGAGCCAGUGCUGUGCCGUAGGGAAGCCGAGAAGCGAGCCGCCUGGGAAGUACGUCCGCAAGGAUGAAACUUAAAGGAAUUGGCGGGGGAGCAC
This 589-nucleotide ribosomal RNA is filed under the name uncultured archaeon. RNAcentral's name for it is "bacterial SSU rRNA". It matches the Rfam family "Archaeal small subunit ribosomal RNA", at positions 281 to 879 of the family's 1478-position model. The record is from RNAcentral.